Molecule: long non-coding RNA, 575 nt
Organism: Mauremys reevesii (Reeves's turtle)
Lineage: Eukaryota; Metazoa; Chordata; Testudines; Geoemydidae
Exons: 3
Source: RefSeq, a predicted model, not a curated record
UGCUGGAGGGAUUAGUCAGUGCUAAAGCUAGGGGAUGAUUAUCUAAAUGUAGCUAUUCUAGUAACAAAGUUGUUUUAUGUUUUCGAUUGAAACAGCUGUCUUGAGAUAAUUUGCUUGUGUUUGAAUUUUUCACACUGGGCCUAAGUGGAAAGUAUCUAUCUGUCAUGCUGUUAAGAUAACAUAGGAAGAGAGAGCCCCUUUGUUGCAAGAUGACCGCAAACAGCAUCUAGCAGACCAGGAAGCUUUUCCGAUACUUGCCAACUGUUACACAGGGUUCUCAAGUGAGCACCCGUAAUGGUGGAUGUAACCAGCAAGGUUUAGUUGUUUACCCCAGUGGCCGGGGGAGUUGGGUCAUCAGAUGCGUAAGUCCCAUCACGUCUGCGUACGUGCCAUUGACUGUAAAUUAGAAGCUGCUGAAAAAAUGUGACUUAAUAUGUAUGUUUCUCUGUAUUCCAGACACAACUGUUGAUGCAUUGUAAACAGCAGGAAAAAAUGUUUGUGUUUUACAUAUUAAAUCUAAAUAUCUAUUUAUACAGAGCUGUACCAAGUCAUUCCAUGUUGCUAAGAGCAAUCCA